Molecule: ribosomal RNA, 447 nt
Filed under: uncultured Microthrixaceae bacterium
Lineage: Bacteria; Bacillati; Actinomycetota; Acidimicrobiia; Acidimicrobiales; Microthrixaceae
Description: bacterial SSU rRNA
Rfam family: Bacterial small subunit ribosomal RNA
Source: RNAcentral
UUUCCUACGGGAGGCUGCAGUGGGGAAUCUUGCGCAAUGGGCGAAAGCCUGACGCAGCAACGCCGCGUGCGGGAUGACGGCCUUCGUGGUUGUAAACCGCUUUCAGCAGGGACGAAAAUGACGGUACCUGCAGAAGAAGCCCCGGCUAACUACGUGCCAGCAGCCGCGGUAAUACGUAGGGGGCAAGCGUUGUCCGGAUUCAUUGGGCGUAAAGAGCUCGUAGGCGGUUCAGUAAGUCGGGUGUGAAAGCUCCGAGCUCAACUCGGAGAGGCCACCCGAUACUGCUGUGACUUGAGUCCAGUAGAGGAGCGUGGAACUCCUGGUGUAGCGGUGGAAUGCGCAGAUAUCAGGAAGAACACCUGCAGCGAAGGCGGCGCUCUGGGCUGGAACUGACGCUGAGGAGCGAAAGCGUGGGUAGCAAACAGGAUUAGAUACCCGAGUAGUCUA